RNAcentral lists this non-coding RNA (45 nucleotides) under Schistosoma mansoni. The record is from RNAcentral. Lineage: Eukaryota; Metazoa; Platyhelminthes; Trematoda; Strigeidida; Schistosomatidae.
AUUCAGCUGACGAGUCACAAAUAGGACGAAACACACGUCCUGCAU